RNAcentral lists this ribosomal RNA (495 nucleotides) under uncultured bacterium. RNAcentral's name for it is "partial 16S ribosomal RNA". It matches the Rfam family "Bacterial small subunit ribosomal RNA", at positions 28 to 507 of the family's 1533-position model. The record is from RNAcentral.
GACGAACGCUGGCGGCGUGCCUAAUACAUGCAAGUAGAACGCUGAAGGAGGAGCUUGCUCUUCUGGAUGAGUUGCGAACGGGUGAGUAACGCGUAGGUAACCUGCCUGGUAGCGGGGGAUAACUAUUGGAAACGAUAGCUAAUACCGCAUAAGAGUAGAUGUUGCAUGACAUUUACUUAAAAGGUGCAAUUGCAUCACUACCAGAUGGACCUGCGUUGUAUUAGCUAGUUGGUGGGGUAACGGCUUACCAAGGCGACGAUACAUAGCCGACCUGAGAGGGUGAUCGGCCACACUGGGACUGAGACACGGCCCAGACUCCUACGGGAGGCAGCAGUAGGGAAUCUUCGGCAGUGGACGGAAGUCUGACCGAGCAACGCCGCGUGAGUGAAGAAGGUUUUCGGAUCGUAAAGCUCUGUUGUAAGAGAAGAACGAGUGUGAGAGUGGAAAGUUCACACUGUGACGGUAUCUUACCAGAAAGGGACGGCUAACUACGUG